Long non-coding RNA from Rhinopithecus roxellana (golden snub-nosed monkey), 472 nucleotides. RefSeq lists it as uncharacterized. Lineage: Eukaryota; Metazoa; Chordata; Mammalia; Primates; Cercopithecidae. The record is from RefSeq and is a predicted model, not a curated record. The transcript has 3 exons.
CCAGCGGGCACCACUGGCGGCAGACGGCGACGGGGAGGGGCCUGCACUCUUGCGAAUCCAGAGACCGGCACCAGCUGAAUGAAUGUCCCCAGGACGUCACACUGGCCCCCUCUAUCGAUGGCCCUGUGCUAAUGAGACCAGAUGAGCAAGACGUGCUUGGCUGAGGUCCAGGCCACUGUCCAGGGACUGCCAUGAGUGUCUGUCCGCCUUGGUGUCAGCGGGAGCUGGCUCGUCCUCUGGUGGGGGCCGUCCUCUGUGGCAGGGUGUCCUGUGCCCUGGCGGGAGCACUCCUCACCACGUUGUGACAACCCACAGCACCUCCAGAGGUGGUCCCCUGUCCCCUGGGGGACACAACAGCUGCCUAUUGAGAACCGCUGGCUCACAGAACAUCUCAUCCUGUGGAUCCUGCCCAGUGUCUGUUGCAUUCGACCAAGGCACGCGUUUACAGCAAAGUCAGGGGUGGGCUUGACCA